ACACUUACCUGAAAGGGGAGAGAUCACGAUCACAAAGGUGGUUUUCCCAGGACAAGACUGACCCACUGCACUGGGAUCUGCUGACCCCUACGAUUUCCCCACAUGGGGAAAACAUGACUGCAGAAUUUGUGUUAGUGGCGGUUGUGUGUGGACUUCCUCCC
RNAcentral lists this small nuclear RNA (161 nucleotides) under Dasypus novemcinctus (nine-banded armadillo). RNAcentral describes it as "U1 spliceosomal RNA (ENSDNOG00000041836.1)". It matches the Rfam family "U1 spliceosomal RNA". Rfam says of the family: U1 is a small nuclear RNA (snRNA) component of the spliceosome (involved in pre-mRNA splicing). Lineage: Eukaryota; Metazoa; Chordata; Mammalia; Cingulata; Dasypodidae. The record is from RNAcentral.